Long non-coding RNA from Malus domestica (apple), 749 nucleotides. RefSeq lists it as uncharacterized. Lineage: Eukaryota; Viridiplantae; Streptophyta; Magnoliopsida; Rosales; Rosaceae. The record is from RefSeq and is a predicted model, not a curated record.
UCAAACACCCUAUCGCUACAAUUCCCUCAAUUAUCUGAAACCUUGUAUCCUUUCUCUUCUCUGCACCGAAGGCCACAGACCACCCCCAUGAUACCAUCCUAAACCUCCGUUUAAAUCGUACCUCUAAACCCUCAAAUUAAGCUUAUACGCGGACUGGGAAAUCGAAUGGUGGUGCUGCAUGUCCAGUUUGAUGACGGAAUGGAGCUGAACAAGGAGCUUCAUAAUUCUCGCCGAAUUCAGGGAGCAACUCAGCCUUCCGGUCUGUGUUUUGGCUCGAGAUUUCCCCUAUAAUGUCUCAGGUAUCAUCCUCAAGCCCUGCAUGUUCGAAUCGACUUGGAAUCAGGUGUUCUGGAAAACCAGCAAGGAAAUCCAGAGAAGUCUUGUCGCAUCGAAGUGAAUUUGACUCGAUUUCAUCUGUUACGACUCCCUGAGGAAAUUAUCUGAAUUUCUGGUGAUAUUCUAGUGCAAACCCAUGCGAAACCGAGGUGUUUCACCUCUGUGCAACUCCGGUGAAAUCUGAGACAAAUCUACCCUCUUUCAUCUUUAAUCUGUGACUGGGUAAAUCCUAAACCCUUAUUUGGUGUUGUGAACGAAUUUGGGAUGUAAAUCCAUGUAGGAAAUGAGCUCAUUUUAAUUUCUGUGUAGUUCCUGUUAAUUAACGGAAAAGGUAUAUAUUCCGUUACUCAUAUUAGGUGUUGGAAUUUGUACAAUGUUAGAGUAUGCUUAGUAAAGCUAAGUGUUAUUUUAUA